Hippocampus zosterae (dwarf seahorse) is the source of this 1889-nucleotide long non-coding RNA. RefSeq lists it as uncharacterized. The transcript is spliced from 5 exons. NCBI's taxonomy places the organism in Eukaryota, Metazoa, Chordata, Actinopteri, Syngnathiformes, Syngnathidae. The record is from RefSeq and is a predicted model, not a curated record.
GGACGACAAGAGUUAAAGUUUCUUCGGAGACACACUUUUUGUACUGGCCGACCAGGUCCCCAGUGUGGUUCCGGUGACUCCUCCUCCUCCUCCUUGAAAUGAAUGGGCAACAAUCGCAGCCCACUUUCUCUCCACUGGGGGUCUUCUGAGGCCGUUAGAGCUUAUAGACCUGGACGACGAUGAUCUUGAGCACCUCUGACAGGUCAGGAAUGCUCCGCCAAACGUCGUGAGGAAGCCGCCGGACCAGCUCACAAACACCGCUUUACCAAACUCAAAGCUGUACGGAAGAACGGUUAAUAAAAGACCCAUUUCAAAACAGAUUCUGCUGGGAGUCUGUGUGUAUGUGCGUGUGUGUGCAAAGAGGAAUUACGUGUGGAGAUGAUGAGAAUGAUGGAAGUCGGCGACGACCUUCUUGACAUACAAGGACGUUAUGAUGAAUGUCAUUAAACCUGCACAAAGAAUAGGUAGAGAGUGGAAACAUGUCACCCAUUCCUCCUUUUUAGUCAAAAUUCAACAGCCAGUACUGAGGGAAGAAUUGGAAGGCUCUUCCGAUGAGUUUUAAAAGAGAAAAUCCAUUGUUUAAUUCCUUUGGAUCAGUGGCAGAUUGCUUUAAAUACUAAUUUUCUCCAUAAAAUUGGAUGCAAUCAAUUCCGCAAUGCUGGUCGACUUCUGUCACUGAAUGUUUUGAUGAAAAUGUGUUUUUAAGUGAACCAUGCCAAAUUCAAGGCUGAGCAAUGAUCUGCCAUUUUCAAAAAUCAAUCCUUCAAAGCCAAAAGGUAGCACUGUCGGGCUCCACCUGCAGCUGCACACAGUCUACAAGCAACAGAACACUGACUGGUCAUCUGGAAUACACCAGACACUAUAACAGCAGUAAGAAGACAUGGAAACAAUUUCCUGAUUUAUGUGGGGUCUCACAUAAAAAAAUUAAAAUAUUCUCCAAUUCUGAAGAAUGCCAUACCCGAGCUACCUUUAAAUAUUUAAAUCUCAACUCAAGACCUAUUUCAACACUUUCACAUUUAGUUAAAUUCCAUCUAGAACACAACUAAAUUCUUGUCCUGCCUGACAACCUGACAUCUGGAUUUUGGCCUGUUUUGCUGCCGUUUCUCUUCCUCCCCAGUCUUUUAUUGGGAAAGAGGAGUGGGUAGCAAUGAGCCAAAUGAGCCUGUUGCCGUAAGGUUUUUGGCUCAACCGACUGGGACAAGACCUGAGGAAGACCAUUUCCCUGAAAGUGUCAAUGUGUGGCCCUUCAUUUAAAUAACUGGACUAUCAUGCGAUUUAAAUUAACAUUGGACAUCAUUGUAUUGUGUGAUAAAUGCAUAUUAUUCCCAAUCAGGAAUAUACGUCAGCCCCAUUGACGAAUUGUCGCCGGUUUUGAGAAAAAUCUCUGCUACCAUUAUCCGGGCCCUGGUGGGAAAAUGGUUGGGGGCCACUCUAAACUAGGGGAUGUUGUUGAUUGUUGUGAACUGUGAGCCUGUGAAGCUCUUUGAGACUAUUUUGUAAUUAAGGGUUGUAAAACGAUGGUUUCAGGCCAAACCCUCAUAUAGCGAAAUGUGGUCAAUUUCAUGUUGUUGUUUUUUUUUUUCGGAAAUCACUACUAUUGGUCAGUUCCCUCAGGAUUUUUUAAUUCUUUUCAGAUUCUUGACCAGAUUAACCCUUUCAUGCACCCUGUAACCUGAUAACAUGAUAAACUGUCCACUGUAGUAACCGCCGUGGGCCUGAAAGGGUUAAAUAAAGUGGAAAAAGGCUUGUCCUCUUUGGGAGGGCAGUGUUAAUGGCUCAAUAAACAUGCUUUUUUUUUGGUUUCCUGAAAAGUGGUGGUCUUGCAGCAAAGGGGAUUUCCGAUCAACGCCAGGCAUAAACAAACAUGAAAUAAAGUUGACUCAAAUCAC